AGAGUUUGAUCCUGGCUCAGAACGAACGCUGGCGGCGUGCUUAACACAUGCAAGUCGAACGCGAAAGAGUUCUUCGGAACUUGAGUAGAGUGGCGCACGGGUGAGUAACGCGUAAGUAAUCUACCCUGAUAUCUGGGAUAACCCACCGAAAGGUGUGCUAAUACCGGAUACGCUGAUUUAUCAGGAAAGGUGGCCUCUUCAUGAAAGCUACUGUAUCAGGAGGAGCUUGCGUACCAUUAGCUAGUUGGUAGGGUAAUGGCCUACCAAGGCAACGAUGGUUAGCGGGUCUGAGAGGAUGAUCCGCCACACUGGAACUGGAACACGGACCAGACUCCUACGGGAGGCAGCAGUGAGGAAUAUUGCGCAAUGGGGGAAACCCUGACGCAGCGACGCCGCGUGGAUGAUGAAGGCCUUCGGGUCGUAAAAUCCUGUCAGAUGGAAAGAAAUGCAUAUGUAUUAAUACUACGUAUGUUUGACGGUACCAUCAAAGGAAGCACCGGCUAACUCCGUGCCAGCAGCCGCGGUAAUACGGAGGGUGCAAGCGUUGUUCGGAAUUACUGGGCGUAAAGCGCGCGUAGGCGGUUUGUUAAGUCAGAUGUGAAAGUCCACGGCUCAACCGUGGAAGUGCAUUUGAAACUGGCAGACUUGAGUACUGGAGGGGGUGGUGGAAUUCCCGGUGUAGAGGUGAAAUUCGUAGAUAUCGGGAGGAAUACCGGUGGCGAAGGCGACCACCUGGCCAGAUACUGACGCUGAGGUGCGAAAGCGUGGGGAGCAAACAGGAUUAGAUACCCUGGUAGUCCACGCCGUAAACGAUGUCAACUAGGUGUUGGGGAGGUUAAUCUUCUCAUUGCCGCAGCUAACGCAUUAAGUUGACCGCCUGGGGAGUACGGUCGCAAGAUUAAAACUCAAAGGAAUUGACGG
RNAcentral lists this ribosomal RNA (921 nucleotides) under uncultured bacterium. RNAcentral's name for it is "bacterial SSU rRNA". It matches the Rfam family "Bacterial small subunit ribosomal RNA", at positions 8 to 916 of the family's 1533-position model. The record is from RNAcentral.